Molecule: ribosomal RNA, 424 nt
Filed under: Campylobacter coli
Lineage: Bacteria; Pseudomonadati; Campylobacterota; Epsilonproteobacteria; Campylobacterales; Campylobacteraceae
Description: partial 23S ribosomal RNA
Rfam family: Bacterial large subunit ribosomal RNA
Source: RNAcentral
AAAGGUAAGCUACUAAGAGCGAAUGGUGGAUGCCUUGACUGGUAAAGGCGAUGAAGGACGUACUAGACUGCGAUAAGCUACGGGGAGCUGUCAAGAAGCUUUGAUCCGUAGAUUUCCGAAUGGGGCAACCCAAUGUAUAGAGAUAUACAUUACCUAUAUAGGAGCGAACGAGGGGAAUUGAAACAUCUUAGUACCCUCAGGAAAAGAAAUCAAUAGAGAUUGCGUCAGUAGCGGCGAGCGAAAGCGCAAGAGGGCAAACCCAGUGCUUGCACUGGGGGUUGUAGGACUGCAAUGUGCAAGAGGUGAGUUUAGCAGAACAUUCUGGAAAGUAUAGCCAUAGAGGGUGAUAGUCCCGUAUGCGAAAAACAAACCUUAGCUAGCAGUAUCCUGAGUAGGGCGGGACACGAGGAAUCCUGUCUGAAUC